This 446-nucleotide ribosomal RNA is filed under the name uncultured bacterium. Its description in RNAcentral is "bacterial SSU rRNA". It matches the Rfam family "Bacterial small subunit ribosomal RNA", at positions 335 to 796 of the family's 1533-position model. The record is from RNAcentral.
ACUCCUACGGGAGGCAGCAGUGGGGAAUUUUCCGCAAUGGGCGAAAGCCUGACGGAGCAACGCCGCGUGAGGGAUGAAGGCCUCUGGGCUGUAAACCUCUUUUAUCAAGGAAGAAGAUCUGACGGUACUUGAUGAAUAAGCCACGGCUAAUUCCGUGCCAGCAGCCGCGGUAAUACGGGAGUGGCAAGCGUUAUCCGGAAUUAUUGGGCGUAAAGCGUCCGCAGGCGGCCCAACAAGUCUGCUGUUAAAAAGUGGAGCUUAACUCCAUCAUGGCAGUGGAAACUGUUGGGCUAGAGUGUGGUAGGGGCAGAGGGAAUUCCCGGUGUAGCGGUGAAAUGCGUAGAUAUCGGGAAGAACACCAGUGGCGAAGGCGCUCUGCUGGGCCAUCACUGACGCUCAUGGACGAAAGCCAGGGGAGCGAAAGGGAUUAGAUACCCCAGUAGUCC